UACAGAGACUGCAAGCGUUAUUCGGAUUCACUGGGCGUAAAGGGUGCGCAGGCGGCCAGGUGUGUUAGGCGUGAAAGCCUGAGGCUUAACCUCAGAAUUGCACCUAAAACUACAUGGCUAGAGCAUUGGAGAGGGUAGCGGAAUUCACGGUGUAGCAGUGAAAUGCGUAGAUAUCGUGAGGAACACCAGAGGCGAAGGCGGCUACCUGGACAAUUGCUGACGCUCAGGCACGAAAGCGUGGGGAGCAAAAGGG
Molecule: ribosomal RNA, 253 nt
Filed under: uncultured bacterium
Lineage: Bacteria
Description: partial 16S ribosomal RNA
Rfam family: Bacterial small subunit ribosomal RNA
Source: RNAcentral